UCCUACGGGGGGCAGCAGUGAGGAAUAUUGGUCAAUGGUCGGGAGACUGAACCAGCCAAGCCGCGUGAGGGAUGAAGGUACAGAGUAUCGUAAACCUCUUUUGUCAGGGAACAAAGGCGGGGACGCGUCCCCGGAUGAGUGUACCUGAAGAAAAAGCAUCGGCUAACUCCGUGCCAGCAGCCGCGGUAAUACGGAGGAUGCGAGCGUUAUCCGGAUUUAUUGGGUUUAAAGGGUGCGUAGGCGGUUUUUUAAGUUAGUGGUUAAACGUCGGGGCUUCACCUUGAUUUGCCAUUUAUACUGUAAGA
This 305-nucleotide ribosomal RNA is filed under the name uncultured bacterium. RNAcentral's name for it is "bacterial SSU rRNA". It matches the Rfam family "Bacterial small subunit ribosomal RNA", at positions 337 to 640 of the family's 1533-position model. The record is from RNAcentral.